This 691-nucleotide long non-coding RNA is filed under the name Equus caballus (horse). RNAcentral describes it as "lncRNA (ENSECAG00000049668.1)". The record is from RNAcentral. Lineage: Eukaryota; Metazoa; Chordata; Mammalia; Perissodactyla; Equidae.
GAGCUAGCCUCUGUUGCCCAUCGUCGUCAGUUUCAGAGGCGGGUAGACUCUCCGCCUGCCUUCGACAGACCCUCUGCGCUUGAAAGCUUUCCUCCUCCCGUCAUCACGGUCCUUCUCGGAUGACGUGCCUGGUUUCGGUUUGACCGUCCCCGCCCGCCCUGAUUUUCUAAGUCCUCCCGGGAGCCCCGGGGGCGCUCCGGCCGCUCCGGGAAGCGGCGGCCUCCCGGCCGCACCGGCUCAGCCCGGCCCGGGCCGACCCCUGGCCUCUCUGGGGGAACUCUCCCCGUCCCCUUCCCGCUCCGGCGACGCGGGCCAAGGGACGGGACUCGGCCGCGGUGACCGAGGCAGAGUCCCGGGAGGCCGGCGUCGCUGGCGGGAUCUGGCCCGGUGGCGCCGGUGCGUGAGCGCGACGCCCGCUCGCCGGAGAUUGGAGGUGCAGGCUACUGAGGGAGGUGGCUGUCGCCGCGCCGCCCGGUGCCGGCCGGGGUGUGGGGCCUCCCGGACGGGUCGACCAGCAGCCGCCGGUGCCCCUCCGUCCCCGGGAGGGGGUGGGGGGCCACCGCGGGGGAACGGGCGAGGGAACUCGUCCCGUGCCCGGCCGUCGUCCUGAGGGCGGCCCGGUGGUCGGGCCUUCCGCGUCGCCGAUCCCCUUUCCGCGCCCCGCUCCGGAGGUGGGGGACCGGCCGGGGCC